RNAcentral lists this unclassified non-coding RNA (296 nucleotides) under Ambisporaceae sp. RNAcentral's name for it is "partial contains 5.8S ribosomal RNA and internal transcribed spacer 2". The stretch from base 1 to 71 matches the Rfam family "5.8S ribosomal RNA", at positions 84 to 154 of the family's 154-position model. Lineage: Eukaryota; Fungi; Glomeromycota; Glomeromycetes; Archaeosporales; Ambisporaceae. The record is from RNAcentral.
GUGAAUCAUCGAAUCUUUGAACGCACAUUGCACUCUCUGGUAUUCCGGAGAGCAUGCCUGUUUGAGGGUAAUUAAAAAGAAUCUUUAACCAAUUUUUUUGGUCAAAGGAUAUGAGUUCUCCGCGCUUAUAGCGGUAGCUUGAAAUAAAUGGUCAAGUUUCAUUUUAGUCGAGACGCGUAAUAAUAUUAUUUCUCGAAAUCUUCAUUAUGUGACUAUCAAGCUUUGAUGCAUACAUAUUUGGGUUGUAUGCGAUCAAUAUACAUACUUUGAAUAUUACCUCAAAUCUGUUAGGAUUA